This 929-nucleotide ribosomal RNA is filed under the name Nocardioides salarius. RNAcentral describes it as "bacterial SSU rRNA". It matches the Rfam family "Bacterial small subunit ribosomal RNA", at positions 57 to 996 of the family's 1533-position model. The record is from RNAcentral. Lineage: Bacteria; Bacillati; Actinomycetota; Actinomycetes; Propionibacteriales; Nocardioidaceae.
GGCUGUCGAGCGGUAAGGCCCUUUCGGGGGUACACGAGCGGCGAACGGGUGAGUAACACGUGAGUAAUCUGCCCUCCACUUCGGGAUAAGCCUCGGAAACGGGGUCUAAUACCGGAUAUGACGGUCGCAUGCAUGUGUGGUCGUGGAAAGUUUUUUCGGUGGGGGAUGUGCUCGCGGCCUAUCAGCUUGUUGGUGGGGUAAUGGCCUACCAAGGCUUCGACGGGUAGCCGGCCUGAGAGGGUGACCGGCCACACUGGGACUGAGACACGGCCCAGACUCCUACGGGAGGCAGCAGUGGGGAAUAUUGGACAAUGGGCGGAAGCCUGAUCCAGCAACGCCGCGUGAGGGAUGACGGCCUUCGGGUUGUAAACCUCUUUCAGUAGGGACGAAGCGCAAGUGACGGUACCUACAGAAGAAGCACCGGCCAACUACGUGCCAGCAGCCGCGGUAAUACGUAGGGUGCGAGCGUUGUCCGGAAUUAUUGGGCGUAAAGGGCUCGUAGGCGGUUUGUCGCGUCGGGAGUGAAAACCCAGGGCUUAACUCUGGGCUUGCUUCCGAUACGGGCAGACUAGAGGCAUGCAGGGGAGAACGGAAUUCCUGGUGUAGCGGUGAAAUGCGCAGAUAUCAGGAGGAACACCGGUGGCGAAGGCGGUUCUCUGGGCAUGUCCUGACGCUGAGGAGCGAAAGUGUGGGGAGCGAACAGGAUUAGAUACCCUGGUAGUCCACACCGUAAACGUUGGGCGCUAGGUGUGGGAUCCAUUCCACGGGUUCCGUGCCGCAGCUAACGCAUUAAGCGCCCCGCCUGGGGAGUACGGCCGCAAGGCUAAAACUCAGAGGAAUUGACGGGGGCCCGCACAAGCGGCGGAGCAUGCGGAUUAAUUCGAUGCAACGCGAAGAACCUUACCUGGGGUUUGACAUACGCCGGGAAA